RNAcentral lists this ribosomal RNA (504 nucleotides) under Sungouiella intermedia. RNAcentral's name for it is "eukaryotic LSU rRNA". It matches the Rfam family "Eukaryotic large subunit ribosomal RNA", at positions 86 to 657 of the family's 3401-position model. RNAcentral also lists the same sequence under 1 other name. The record is from RNAcentral. Lineage: Eukaryota; Fungi; Ascomycota; Pichiomycetes; Serinales; Metschnikowiaceae.
ACGGCGAGUGAAGCGGCAAAAGCUCAAAUUUGAAAUCCUUCGGGAGUUGUAAUUUGUAGGUUGGGAGACCCCGCGGCUAGUGGCACCAAGUCCCUUGGAACAGGGCGCCUUAGAGGGUGAGAGCCCCGUAGGUACCACAACACCGUCUUGUGUCUCCUCUCCAAAGAGUCGAGUUGUUUGGGAAUGCAGCUCAAAGUGGGUGGUAAAUUCCAUCUAAAGCUAAAUACCGGCGAGAGACCGAUAGCGAACAAGUACAGUGAUGGAAAGAUGAAAAGCACUUUGAAAAGAGAGUGAAACAGUACGUGAAAUUGUUGAAAGGGAAGGGCUUGCAAGCAGACACGGCCUUCGUGCCGGGCCAGCAUCGGUUGCUAGGGGUGGAUAAGGAACAAGGAAUGUAGCUCCUCGGAGUAUUAUAGCCUUGCGCGAUACACCCACUGGCGACCGAGGCCUGCGGUAUUCUUUACCUAGGAUGCUGGCGUAAUGGUUGCAAGCCGCCCGUCUUGA